UUAAGUAGGUCACCUGUCCUAGAUUUAAUCUAGACACGAAUUGAAUUGCGUGUACGAUGUUUAUUAAACAAUUUGCCGGACGAUUAUAUUAUUGUUAGUAUUUUUAUUUCUAUAUUUCGUUGUAGCGAACAGGAAAUGACUACUAAUCGUCUUCUCCGAACUAUUUUUGAAUAUUAUUUAUUGGUGUAAUAUUCAAAUAAUGUACUACAGAUAUUUCAAACAAAAUGUGAAAGAAAUAACCAAUAGAACCCGUAGAAAAAUUCUCGAAACUAUUUACAAUGAAAGUAUACGUUAAUUAAUUUUUGAUUUCGCAGUAGAAAAAUAAAACAAAGCGUCUUCUAAAACCACUUUAAUCUAACAGCGUUUCAUGUAAUUAAUUGUUUGUCAUGAUGCUUUAUAUUCGAUUUAUAAUUCUUGAUUUAUUUAAUGGAUAAUGAAGUAAAUGAGGAAUCAAUACCAAUGAAUAAACUAACAAUGUACUUGUAUAUCCUGGAAAAUAUAAUACACAAUAAUUAAGCUAAUUAGCAUCGAGUACCUGUCAUAUUAGUUUCCAUGUUAAUUUUAUACUAAAAAUAACUAAAGUGUGUUAACGAAACAUUUGUACUUUGGAGCUGUCGUAAAAAAAUGAUUACAAUUUAGUAGAAUUUGUUCACGUAGAAACAUGUUACAGGGUGUUUAUAAAGUAAUCUGAUACGGUAUUCGAUUGUAAGACGAAAAAUUCUUAUAAACGGUUCGAUAAGUCCUUUCAAUAUUGAGGUGUUGGAUUAUUUUUUAUAAACAAACAUUCUUAUAGACAAUAUGUUUGUCCUUGGUGACGUUUUCAAAAGGAAUAAAAUGAAAAUACGUGGCUUUUGAGAUAUUAAUUCUAAUUACCGUAUGAUUUAUGAAAAAUAACUCAAACAAAAACUUUUUUAUGACACUUAUUUCGGUAUAGAGCCAACAUUGAUCACGAGACAAAAAAGGAUAUUUGCCAUUACAAAAAUCGUAUUCACGUUCGUCAGAUUUUGUAGUUUAAUUUGUAUGUUGAGAGAACGUUUAUGAAACUUUCAUUCAUUAUUUGCAGUUUUACGAAAAAUCCGUUCACAAACUUCAUGAAAAUGUACCAAGUUUCAUCAUUAUUCUAUCCUAUAAAACCACGAGAUUGCCGAUACUUCAAACCGCAAAACAUUAUUAUAUUGGUACAAAAUUCUAUAUUUUCCGUUCAUUGACUCUUGAACUCUUAAGAUGUGAAUAAAUUCGCAAUCAGGUUAUCGAUUGAUAAACAAUACACAUAUUGGAAAAAUAUAUGAUAAUAAAAAAAUUUUAUCAUUUGAUUUUAGAAAACGAAAGUAUGUCUCUUGUAAAUCCGUAUCAAAUCCAAUGUCUCCCGCACAUAAAUAAUCUUUACAUGAUAAUAAUUUUAACUCGCUUAACAGCAGCAAGAGAAUAUAAUUUUUAGGUCUUCGUGUAUAUAUUCUCGAUUGCAAAAUAUGCAAAUUUAAUUAUUAAACGUGAAAUUAUACUCCGUUGAAAGUUUCGAAACAAAUCUGUCAAUGUCAAAUAUUAAAGACUGUCACUCAUUGACAGACAUGCGAGUGGGUGCGUUCUCAAAAUAUAGCCUUUUUUCGCGUCAUCGAACUAUUAGAUUACUUUUGAUCAUUUUGAGAAAACUAUAGAUAUAAUCUAAAUUUGUAUAGACUCGAUAUUGGUAUUAUUGAUUUAUAUUCAGAAAUAACAAAUUUAUGAAAAAAUAUUAAAAGACAAAGACUUUCUUGAUAUGGGUAGUGGACAAAAGUGGAAUCAUUUAUUAUUAAAUUGUCUCAUAUUUACUUUCUGCGAUGAAGUUUUUAAAAAAUAUCGACCCGAAUAUUUCUUGUAAAAGAAGUUGGCAACCCUAUGUACGCGCCCUAAAAAAAAGACCAUCAAAAUGAUAGUGUUGUCAGUGUAUAUAAUAAAAAUCGAUAAGAAAAACUAACCGAUUGCUCGAGGAAAUUAAUAUUUGAAAUAAUGGAUUUGUACCAAAUUAUAGCUUCGUAAGUUAAUAUUAUACAAACAACUCAUUCUGCACUUCCAGGAUCCAUUGGUUGUUGUAACUUUUUCUUUCCAUGAUGCCAUUUUCAUAUUUUGUAAUGCCAAACAACUGGAGGAACACUGAGGGGAUCAGAACUUUUUAGAUUAGAUUCAGAUUAAAAAGUUAUUGUAAUCAAACUGACAAAACUGUUAUUAUUUUGCUUUAACUGAAAGUAGAAUUUAUGUAUUUCUCCAAUUUUGGUACUUACAUGCUUACUGCCGUACUAUAAAUACCCAACAAUCUGAACACAACAUUCAUAAAGUUUUUCCAAGAUAACAUGGAAAUUGACAAAUAAAAAUAAAACACUAUUAACUAAAAUCCAGUUGACCACCCGUCCUCAGCUACAUGACAACGGCAACUGUGACUGCCCGAUAAUACAAAUUAAUUAUCUACUUUACAACAAAAUGUAAUUGAUGUCACUUGUAGUGCUAGGAAGUAAUCGAAUAUAUUAAUGAUAGUCUAGAUGAUUAUAAUUGUUUUUUAAACGUCACCGUUGUUUUUUAAUUUUUUUUCUCGUACUAAACUUUGGAGUUGUAGCCGAAUAAAAAUAGAAGCGGCGCGUUCCGACGCAAACUCAAUUAAAUUUUUUGUAUUAAUGAUAAUUUUAGAGCUGCGGUGACGUUAACUGAAUAAUAAAAAAUCGACGACACGCGUAAAAUAUUCAGGAAAUAAAAUAACAUGUUUAGUUAUCUAAUAUCGAUUCCUAGUAUACCGGGCGACCUAAACAUAUUUGAGUAUCUCUUACAACAAGAAGUUCGAUCGAUUUUUAUGAAUGAAUUAUAUUGAAUAUCAGUUUGAAUGCUUAUUUAUACCGAAAACAAAAUAUUUAAGGUUAUAAUUCAAACUAAAUUUUGUGAAGUAGUUAAUAAAACCAAAAAUUAAUGAUUGUAUAUAAAAUUCAAUAUCGAUAAACUUUUUUUUGUAUUUGUAUUAAGGAUUUUUAGUGGGUUCGGUUCUUAAAGUUAUAUAUAAAUGACAUUGUAUUUAAUAAAUGCAUAAUUUAAGUAGAUGCUUCCGAAUCUGUCAGCAGAAGGAGACUUAUCCUUGACAUCAAUCCCAAGUUUCACUUCGUAAUUUUAUUAUUAUGCAAUGCGACUGAUUUAAUUCAUAUUUAACGAUUCCCGAUACAAAAUUUAUUAAAACAAAAUUCGUUCGUACUUAUUGAGAUGAAAUCAAAAAUGUUUAUUGGACGUUUUUUGAUUGAUUAUUUGGAAUUUUGUCCGUCCACUUCGGUAUAUACAAACUUAUCUUUGUAAAACGCCAAAAUUUAAUGAUUAAAGUACAAAGUUUCGAAAAAAAACUUUAUCUAUAGACACUCGAUGUAACAAUCAAUCAAAUAUAUAACAAAUUUUGAAAAAACUACUCCAAAUUUGUAUAAAUUUUAUCAAUAAUUUGAGAUUCACUCGAUAUAUCGAAUAUUUUAUUUUCCGUUAUUUUUUAUUGUUAACAACGAAUUUAAAAUCAACUAUUUUUGCGGGAUUUUUUUUCGAAAAACGAUAAACCGAGAUGGUAACGAAUGAUUUGAUGACGUCAAAACUAAAAAACUUGAUAAAUUUCAAUAUUAGUCACAGUUAUAUUGAAUUUUGAAUAUAUUUUUCUAAUUAGGAGUGACGCACGGGGAAAACCUGACGAUUUGAGUAAAAACACGUUUUUCGUUAACGAAAAGUUUGUGAAUAGAAACAAAUUUAAUAUAAACUACUAUCGAAUUAACGAUUCUAUUUGAACGUAUGUUUAAAAUGUACAAUUUAUACUAAAAACUAGAAAAAUAUUAAUUCGUAAUAAAUUACCGAAAUUCCCGAACGAAUAUAAACCAAUAAUAAAAAUUGAAAUGUUGUUUUUUUGGGUCAAGUGCGUUUACUCAUAUUUCAAAGUGUUUUUAUGAAUUAUUCAACAUUUUAUUGACCAAAAAUUUGUAUCGACGAGAUCGACUUUCGAAAAUUACUGUGAAAUUGGUCGUAGGACAGUUUCUCGUUUGUUUUUUGAAUUUGUGGCUACAAUUUUAAAUUUUUUAUUCAUACUCACCGAUUCGUAAAAGAUGAAAUAGUCAACAGAACAAUACACGGUCAAAUAACUUUUAAAUCCAAAGUAGUACGUAGGUAAUUUUUGAAAUAACCAAAAAACCGCUUCAUUUCUACAUAAAUAUGUCUCUUCGAUAUUGCAUUUUUUAAAAAUACCUACAUAAUAAUUAAUAAAUCAGAAUAACAUUGAUUAGAGAUUAAAAAAAAAUGUUUGUUAUUAAUUUGUUAUUGUAAAUAACGUGUUAAGUAAACAAACCGUUGCGUCAUUAUUUUUCUUUGGCGGACGAAAAUUGAUUUAAUCGGUGGAUAUUUUACAAAAAAAUUGUUUCACUUGAAAUUUAAUGUAUUUUUAACGUACCAGAUUUAAAUGGAACAAAAAAAUUCGUGGUGAUACGUGGUAGGUACUGCAGUUUGAUCAAAAUUUAAUUAACAAUUAUCAGAAAAUAUAAUUUCCAUUAAAUUUAUAAAUAAAAAUCGUCGUAAUGACUUCUGUAUUAAUGGUAAUUAUUUAUUGAAUGAUGAAUGGGAAAAGUGUAAAUAACCUUGUGCAUUUUUUUUAAUGAAUACUAUUACAAUUACUGGUAGUAAUAAUUUGCAUUACAAAUCAUUCGUUCGAUAUUUUUUUUUUAUUUGUUCGAAGCAACCAAAACUGCGAAAGAAGAAAAAAUUAUGUCGUCGAUUAUUAGAAUUUUCCAAAUUCUAAUUUAGCAACGGGUGUCUAUCCAUAGAACAGCUGUUGUAUUAUAUACAGUGUGUCCACGUAAUUCGUCUGCAUAUGGGACAUAACUUUUUUAUUAUUAAUUUUACGAAAAAAAGUUAUUCUUUAUAAAAAGUUCUAACUGGUCCAAAACCUAAUAAUCAAUCAUCAGAUGUUAAAGUUUUCAAGUCGUAUACGAGGUUUGUCGAAAAAUGUGAGUAUUGCUCAAUAUCGAAAAUUGUUAUAAAGAAAA
Diorhabda sublineata is the source of this 5018-nucleotide long non-coding RNA. RefSeq lists it as uncharacterized. The record is from RefSeq and is a predicted model, not a curated record. The transcript is spliced from 2 exons. NCBI's taxonomy places the organism in Eukaryota, Metazoa, Arthropoda, Insecta, Coleoptera, Chrysomelidae.